This is a long non-coding RNA of Gavialis gangeticus (Gharial), 195 nucleotides long. RefSeq lists it as uncharacterized. NCBI's taxonomy places the organism in Eukaryota, Metazoa, Chordata, Crocodylia, Gavialidae. The transcript is spliced from 3 exons. The record is from RefSeq and is a predicted model, not a curated record.
CCACAGCAUGCUUAUGACCUCAGUAGUGCUAUGCUGGAUAGCACUAUGGAUGAAAGGGACUUGUGGGUCAUUAUUGACCACAAGAUGAACAUGAGCCUUCAAUGUGAUGCUACGGCUAGUAAAGUGGGCAAAACGCUGGCUUUCAUCCAUAGAUGCUUCUCAAGCAAACCCCAGGACAUCAUUCUCCCCUUGUAC